Molecule: long non-coding RNA, 1186 nt
Organism: Hydractinia symbiolongicarpus
Lineage: Eukaryota; Metazoa; Cnidaria; Hydrozoa; Anthoathecata; Hydractiniidae
Exons: 3
Source: RefSeq, a predicted model, not a curated record
CGCUACAAUGAAAUUGAUUACCCUUAGUAAAUAAUUAACGUAUAGCGUCAGAAAGAUUUUACACAAACAGAAAAACCUCUUCAAAAUUUGUUAUUGUUAACCUGACAUAUCCAACUUCAAGAAAUAACCAGGAAGGAGAUCUGGAAAUAAAAAAGAAAAGUUGUUUUUUCUAAAAAUACUAAAUUAGAGUUUUUAACUUUCAAUUUAAGUUUUUAAUUUUAAUACCUUUUUUAAUUGCGAUAGCGCGAUGGUUUGGUUUCGGCUCAGCCCUACGGCAUUCAAAAGUCACAUUAAUAAAGUUAUUUUAAGAUAACAAGUGCUAUCUUAAGAUAACUCUAUUAAUGUGAUUUCGGAAUGCGUGUAUAUUCACAUAAAUGUCUUGAUUGUAAGAUAACUCGAGUUAUUUUAAGAUAACAUAAAUGUGAUAAUUCUAUCUUUUCUAAUGCGCAUAUGUGUAAAUGAACGUUGCUUAGGGUGCGGAUACGUAAAGUAGCUCACAAAACAACAGCCUACAUGAAUUUCCGGCCGUAUUGACAUUUAUUUUGAUACGUCAUUUGUAUUGUCCUUGUGGUGUCGCGUAUGUGCUCUGCUGUAGAGUUCGCUCUGCGGUGGAGAACAAGAUGCAUUUUGUUAGUUUUGUGUUGUGAUGUAUUGUCCCGUGUUAAUUAUGUAAAGAGAAUAAUUGUAAUUUUGGUACUAUUUUUAGUUAAAUUUUCUGCACAUCUUGCACAUCUUUUUUCUGCGCAUUCAGUCUUCAACAUGUAAUGACAGAGUCGAACAUACAUUUUUGUAUAAAAUUUGCUGUUGAGUGAAAUUUUUCUUUCAUACAUCACAGGAGUUGUCCUGUAUCUCAGCGUCUGUUUUAGUUGUUUUCUCUCACAUGUAGUUGGCUUGGCUUACGCCACUAUAUAUCUAGUUAAAUCUUGGCAUUCAUUUUUUUGCUUUGCUAAAUUGUAUUUUUGGUAAUAUAGAACAGACAGCCAAUUACUGAUAUGAAAAAUCGUAAGAAUAAUAUUAAACGAAGAUCCAUACAAUGUAAAUUGGAGAAACUGAUUACAUUACAACGAACGAGUGAAUGAUCAGUGAAAAACAAUCUAAGAAAUGUAUGGAUGCUGAGUCGUUUACAACACAUGUAAAAAAGUGCGCCAAAUAUAAUUUUUUUAAAAAAAUCUGCCGAAUUUAUGGA